This 1125-nucleotide ribosomal RNA is filed under the name Triticum aestivum (bread wheat). RNAcentral describes it as "partial small subunit ribosomal RNA". Lineage: Eukaryota; Viridiplantae; Streptophyta; Magnoliopsida; Poales; Poaceae. The record is from RNAcentral.
AUGUUAAAGCCCACCACAGAGGCACUCUUCUUCUAUGGUCCUGAACUGAAUGGCAGCUGCGGCCCAUCAUCUUCACCCUCACUCAUGGCCGACGGCGACGGUGACGGCGACGGCGGCGGCGGAGAGGGCGGCGGGAGCGCCGAGUGGCAGCCCAUCUACGACCGGGUCCAGGCGCAGGCCGAGGCUCUCGCCGCCGACCGCGCGCGCCUGGAGGCGGCCAGCAAGGUCCAGCGCGAGUCGUGGGAGGCGGCGCGGAGGCUUCAGCGGAGCGUGGAGGAGCUGCAAGCGGCGGCGCGGGAGAAGGACGCCGAGAUCGAGAGAUUGCGAGCAGAAGCCGCCGACGCCAGCAAGAAGCUGCAGGAAGUGCGCCAGGCGGAUGCGGACAGGAGGAUGAGGUGGGAGGCGGCCUACGUGGAUCUGAUUCUCGGUGCCAACCAGAAGCUCGCCGAACUCAGAGAUGUCGACAUGGAGGAUUCCAGAACUUGUGCAGAAACCCCCAACUCUAAGGCAAGACUCAGUCAGAACACUGUGGAUCAGGCAUGCGUUGCAAGUGAUUUAAGCACGGAGCUAAGAAAACUAAAGCGAGCGUACGAGACUCUGAGCUCACAGAAGGACAUGGAAGUUUCUACAUUACUCUCAGAAAAGGAACGUGCACGUAACCAGUUGGUUGUAAUGCGAAAAGCCUAUGGUGUGCUUCUUAGGAACAAGAACGGGGAGGCAGCACAAACUACUGAAGCAGCUCAAAAGCUUCAGCGGGGUGUAGAUGAUCUUAAAGUGUCGGCCCAAAAGAAGGACGAUGAGAUUAGCAGAUUGCGAGCAGAAGCUGUUGCUGCCGAAAAGAAGCUACAGAUAGCUCAAAAGCUUCAGCAGAGCGUGGAUGAUCUUAAGGCGGCGGCCCAAAAGAAGGAUGAUGAGAUUGACAGAUUGCGAGCAGAAGUUGUUGCUGCUGAAAAGAAGCUACGGGAAAUGCAAUCCUUGGUCAUGGAGAAAGAUGAUGAGAUCCAAACAAUUAAUGAUGGGCAAGAUGAAGCUAAUCAGAAGCGCAGGCGUGUCUCCUCGACUUCAAAUGAUGAUGAGCAGAGUGAAAGUGUUGAGGAUGAUGAUGUGCAGAAUGGAAGUGAUUAG